RNAcentral lists this long non-coding RNA (4318 nucleotides) under Macaca mulatta (Rhesus monkey). RNAcentral describes it as "lncRNA (ENSMMUG00000055783.1)". The record is from RNAcentral. Lineage: Eukaryota; Metazoa; Chordata; Mammalia; Primates; Cercopithecidae.
CCUAUUGUCUCCCUGGGCACCAAUCCACAGCCACAGGCAGGCUUAGAGAGGGAGAGACAAAGGAGGGAAUGGGAAAGCACAAAGGGAGCGGGAAUGAAAUGCAUGUUCGUGUGUGUUUUCCGACGGACUGAGCAUUCCAGACCAGCUGCCUCUGAUGCAUGGGAAGGUCCAUUGGCUGAUGCAUGCAGGGUGUGGGCACAGAGGAGCACACCAUCUUCCAGAGUGAAAACAAUCCUGUGGGCCAGUCGCGGUGGUUCACGCCUGUAAUCCCAGCACUUUGGGGGGCUGACGCGGGCGGAUCACCUGAGGUCGAGAGUUCCAGACUAGUCUGACCAACAUGGAGAAACCUCAUCUUUACAAAAAAUACAAAAUUAGCUGGGCAUGGUGGUGCAUGCCUGUAAUCCCAGCUACUUGGGAGGCUGAGGCAGGAGAAUCGCUUGAACCCUGGAGGUGGAGGUUGCAGUAAGCCGAGAUUGCACCACUGCACUUCAGCCUUGGCAACAAGAACAAAACUCUGUAUCAAAAAAAAAGAAAGAAAGAAAAAUCAUGUGAAAUCCAGGCAGCCAGUGCCACACAAUGGCUCAGAGUUCCUGUGGAAGUUUAACACAGGGGAAAUUAAAUUACUGCAAAGAUGGUCUAGGAUGGGGAGGGGGGUGUUUACUCAGAGAAUGUGAGGGAAAUCCCAAGGCCUCUGGUCUCAUUAAGGCUUAGUCCAUUCUGGCUGCUAUACCAAAAUAUUAUGGACUAGGUGGCUUAUAAACAACAAAAAUUUAUUUCUCACAAUUCUGAAGGCUGGGAAGUCCAAGAUCAAGUUUCUGGCAGAUUCAGUGUCUGGUGAGCCACCGCUUCCUGGUUCAUAGACAACUGUCUUUUUGCUAUAACCUCACAUAGCAGAGUGGGGUGACAGACCUUUCUGAGGCUUCUUUUAUAAAGGCACUAAUUCCAUUCAUGAGGGCUCCACCUUCAUGACCUAAUCACCUCCCAAAGACCCCACCUCCUAAUAGGAUAAACUUGGGGGCUAAGAUUUCAACAGUGGCCGGGUACACAGUGGAACACACCUAUAAUCCUAGCCACUCGAGAGGCUGAGGUGGGAGGAUUGUUUGAGGCUACAGUGCACAAUGAUCCUGCCUGUGAAUGGCCACUGCACUCCAGCCUGGGCAACAUAACAAGACCCCAUGUCUAAAAAAAGAAAAAAAAAAGUAAUGAAGUUUGAGGGAACACAAAUAUUUAGACCUUGGUAGGAGAUGAGGAGUGGGUGACCAGGAAAGAAAAAGCCUUUUGAGUUGUGGAAGGCAGAGACGGGAUUUCAGUUUGUGCGGGUGAAUGUGCAAAGCACAUGUAAAGUAACCAUAAGCUUGAGCUCUGAUUUUAGAAUUAAUAAUACAGUAUGUUUUGGUUUUGCCAUAGACUCUAAUUAGACCUCUAGAGCUAGUUCUAGCUUCGUUGCACCCUCCUUCCCUUUUGAUAUGGUUUGAAUCUGUGUCCCCACCCAAAUCUCAUGAUCAAUUGUAAUCCCCAAUGUUGAAGGUGGGGCCUGGUGGGAAGUGAUUGGAUCAUGGGGGUGGAUCCUUCCUAAAUGGUUUAGCACCCUCCCUUUUUGGUCCUGUUCUUGUGACAGAGUUCUCAUGAGACCUGGAUGUCUCGCUCUUCCUCCUGUGAAGGAGCCUGCUUCCAGCCAUGUGAAGAUGCCUGCUGCAGCCUUGCCUUCUGCCAUGAAUAAAAGCUCCCUGAGGCCUCCCUAGAAGAAGAUGCUGCCAUGCUUCCUGUACAGUCUGCAGAACCGUGAGUCGAUUUAAUCUCUUUUCUUUAUGAAUUACCCACUUGCAGGCACUUCUCUGCAGCAGUGUAAAAAAAGACUAAUACCCCACUCCCUGACCACAUAUCCUCCCCUCACCCAACGCACAGCUGGAAUCAGGUGUGUUGUCAGCCUCCCCUGUAAAGGUUCAUUUCCAGCUGGUGUGCAGGGGGUUCACAGAGACUGACAUCUGAAUGAUGCACCUGGAAUGAGCAGUGAUGGGGCCCGGUUCAUUUCUGCUUCUCAAAUUGAUGCCCCAUCAGUGAGGCACAAAAGUCAUCCCCACUCCCUUCCACCAGUUCCAGACUGUACUGUCUAGAUGACUCAUUGCCUACGUAGUGGCUCUGCCUGCUACCUUCGCGGGAGAAAUGUAAUGGUAGCCUACCUUCACUCUUAGGAGAUACUAAUUUAGGGUAUGAUGGUGGACUAGGUGUUCAAUACCAAGGGCUAUUCUUCUUCUAGGUAAGAAAUUUUGAAUUUUGAGUCAAAACUGUCCUUUUCUUUAAAAUUCUGUUGAAAACUCAGGCAUUCUAGGAUUAAUUCCCUGAUUAAACUGGCCAAGACAUGAUCAUUGAACACUGCCCUAUUCUUGGGACUCAUUGCUUACUUUUAUCUUUGCCAUAUUUAUCUUUACUCUCAGGUUUUUGUUUCCUGUCCCCAUUCCUGGUCUGAAUUUUCUCCAUAAGUGAUCCUGCUGCUUUCAUUAGGCAUUGAGCUAUGUGAUGAAAGAGGCCUUGUCUAGUCCUGCCUCAGGAACAAAACCAAGUUAAAAAAUAAUUUUAAACAGCCAUUGUAUGCAAGACACAGUCCUAAGAUGAGGACUGGAAGAUGAGCAAAGGAUACAAUAAUUGGAGGCCACUCCUGUUCUCAAGGAGUUUAGAGCUAGUUGGAGAGACAGACAUAGGUGUAAUGUGAACUAAUAUUAUGUGACGUCAACUUACUAACUCAAGAUGGCAAUAAAAUAGAAGUGAGAAUUCCACUACAUACCUAUUAGAAUGGUCAAAAUCCAGAAUGUUUACAUCACCAAAUGCUGAUGAGGAUGUGGAGCAAUUGGAACUCUCAUUCAUUGCUGGCGAGAAUGCGAAAUUGUAUAGCCCCUUUGGAAGACAGUUUGGCGAUUUCUUACAAAACUAAGCACACUCUUCCCAAAUGAUCCAGAAACUGCAGUCCUUUGUAUUAAUUCAAAGGAGUUGAAAAUCGAUGACCAUACAAAAACCUGCACAUGGAUAUUUAUAGCAGUUUUUUUCAUAAUUGCCAAAACUUGAAUGCAACCAAGAUCUCCUUCGGUAGGUGAAUGGUUCAAUAAACUGUGGUACAUUCAAACAAUGGAAUAUUAUUUAGCACUAAUAGGAUAUGAACUAUCAAGCCAUGAAAAGGAAAACUUAAAUGCAUAUUACUAAAUUUAAAAAAAUGAAGGAAAGUUGAAUGCAAUUACUAAGUUUAAAAAAAAGCCAAUCAUAAAAGACUACAUACUCUAUGGUUCCAACAAUAUGACAUUCUGGAAAAGGCAAAACUAUGAAGAGGGAUGAAUAGGCAGAACACAGAGGAUCUUUGAGGUGGUGAAACAAUUCUGCAUGACACCGUAAUGGUGGAUACGAUACAUGUAACUAUACGUUUGUCCAAACCCAUAGAAUCUACAAUUCCAAGAGUGAACUCUAAUGCUAACUACAGUCUUCGGGUGAUAAUAAUGUGUUGAUACAGGCUCACAAUUGUAGCAAAUGUACCAUUCUGGUGUAGGAUGCUAAUAAUGGGGGAGGCUGUGAUGUGUGGAGGCAGGGGUCUUCUGGGAACUCUCUAUACCUUCUGCUCAGUUUUGCUGUGAAUCUAAAGCUGCUCUAAAAAAAUAAAAUCUAUUUUUUUAAGUGAGAAGGAAGCAUAUGAAUGUUCAGAGAAGAUAAAGUCUACGUAGGCAAUAAAGGAGACAAUGGAAAAGGGGUCUUGAAGUACAGGUGGAAUUGGCCAGGCAAGAAGGAUAAAGAAGACUAUUAUAGCCCUGGAAAAGAGUAUAAACAAAGACAGUCAGUUAUGCUCUAAGUCUUGGUUUUGAAAACAUGAAUUUGUUUCAACCCGAUUCAUGUAUUGGGGAGCAAUCUGAGUGCAAUACAGAUUUUGCAUUUGCUUGUGCAUGAUUUUUCCUUGAGAAACACCAGGUGAAUGGAGAAAACUCUACUCAGCUGAACCAAACAGGGCAGAAGUACACAAAAUGUACACAAGGACACCUCUCAAAUUUCUACCACCUAACCGAGUUUACAGGGUGUGUUAGAAACCCUCUUUCCACCACUUCAUAGGAACUCAUAAACUGCACCCCUUUCAACAACCAACUCCAUAUACAAAAUUAAUGUCCGUUUCAGGAUACUGUGCCAUAUUUAUUGUAGCAUGUAUCUAUUUCUUAACCAUUUAAUGUGUGAACUGUGCUACAAUUUUAUUAGAUUCCUAUCUUUUUUGUUGUUACAUUGACAAAACUUCUGAAUGUUGUAAUCUCUAACUAUUUUUCCCAUUAGCCCUAUAAUUCUUUUUUGUUUG